CCUACGGGAGGCUGCAGUGAGGAAUCUUGGUCAAUGGCCGUAAGGCUGAUCCCGCCAAGUAGCGUGAGGGAAUACUGCCCUAUGGGUUGUAAACCUCUUUUAUGUGGGGAUAAAGGUAUCCACGUGUGGAUGUUUGCAGGUACCGCAUGAAUAAGGACCGGCUAAUUCCGUGCCAGCAGCCGCGGUAAUACGGAGGCUCCGGGCGUUAGCCGGAUUUAUUGGGUUUAAAGGGAGCGUAGGCGGGUCUUUAAGCGUGCCGUGAAAUUUUGUGGCUCAACCAUGAGAGUGCGGCGCGAACUGGAGGCCUUGAGUAAGCGAAAGGCAGGCGGAAUUCGUGGUGUAGCGGUGAAAUGCUUAGAUAUCACGAAGAACCCUGAUUGCGAAGGCAGCCUGCCGCAGCUUUACUGACGCUGAGGCUCGAAAGCGCGGGUAUCGAACAGGAUUAGAUACCCUAGUAGUC
RNAcentral lists this ribosomal RNA (460 nucleotides) under uncultured bacterium. RNAcentral describes it as "partial 16S ribosomal RNA". It matches the Rfam family "Bacterial small subunit ribosomal RNA", at positions 338 to 795 of the family's 1533-position model. The record is from RNAcentral.